RNAcentral lists this ribosomal RNA (253 nucleotides) under uncultured bacterium. RNAcentral describes it as "partial 16S ribosomal RNA". It matches the Rfam family "Bacterial small subunit ribosomal RNA", at positions 524 to 776 of the family's 1533-position model. The record is from RNAcentral.
UACAGAGGGUGCGAGCGUUAUUCGGAAUUACUGGGCGUAAAGCGUGCGUAGACGGUUAUCUAAGUCGGAUGUGAAAGCCCCGGGCUCAACCUGGGAAUUGCAUUCGAGACUGAAUAGCUAGGGUACGGUAGAGGGAAGUGGAAUUUCCGGUGUAGCGGUGAAAUGCGUAGAUAUCGGAAGGAACAUCAGUGGCGAAAGCGACUUCCUGGACCAGCACCGACGUUCAGGCACGAAAGCGUGGGGAGCAAACAGG